UUCACAUAAAAUUUCGAGAGUGAUUAUAAAAUGGGGAAUGCAAGAAAGUUAGAAAAAGAGUGGGAAAAUGAUGGCUCCAGACAGACGUGUCAGUCUCCCGAUUUCCUGGCGCCGCGCUCUUAUCACUUAACAAGAGCACCAAUUGAAUAUUCAAUAUUC
This is a non-coding RNA of Caenorhabditis elegans, 159 nucleotides long. Lineage: Eukaryota; Metazoa; Nematoda; Chromadorea; Rhabditida; Rhabditidae. The record is from Ensembl.